GAAAUGCCUUUUUCCUUUUUUUUGAAAAAAAGAAUAAAAUAAUAUAUAUAUAGGCUUUUUAGAGGUAGGUUUUUUUUAAUGCCAAACUAGUAUUUGGAAUAGUUGGGCUAGUAGUAUGAACAACUUUGGUUUGUCAGUGAUCUUUUGUUGGCUUUGAGGUCAUGAGUUGUAUGCAUUUAAACAAAUUGUAUUAGAACUUCCUGUGAUGGUAUAGUUGUGAGUUGUAUCAAUUUUUUUGUAAGA
Molecule: unclassified non-coding RNA, 243 nt
Filed under: Hevea brasiliensis (rubber tree)
Lineage: Eukaryota; Viridiplantae; Streptophyta; Magnoliopsida; Malpighiales; Euphorbiaceae
Source: RNAcentral